RNAcentral lists this long non-coding RNA (844 nucleotides) under Chinchilla lanigera (long-tailed chinchilla). RNAcentral describes it as "lncRNA (ENSCLAG00000023601.1)". The record is from RNAcentral. Lineage: Eukaryota; Metazoa; Chordata; Mammalia; Rodentia; Chinchillidae.
GACUCUACAGAUAUUUCUCCCAAGAGAAAGAAUAAAGCAGCACCUCAACCCAGGCACAGCAGCAGCCAGUCACAUGCUUCACCUCGAGAUGGUACCGCAGGAAAGACAAGCCUCUGUCAUGAGUCUCUGGACAACAGCGCACACUAGCUGGCGUCAGUAAGCACCACGCGAAGCUAAACUAAGAGGCAUUCCACAGGAUAAACGACCAACCGUCCUCAAAACAUAGGAGCCGUAGAAGACCCUCCAGCCCCAACACAGCUGCCCACAAAUGAGGGGAGCCAAAGGUGGGAGUGGGAGAGAGAGAGAAGAGAGAAGUAAGCGUCACCUACUCGAGGAGAUUGAGGAGGAGGACUUGCUUAAACAAGUAAUUUAUGUUCAAUAAAAUCAUUAUGGAAAGAAUUCUUUACUGGAAAUAUAGUAAAAUACCUCAGCUUUGAAAACUUUCAAGAAUAUUUACUCAACUGAAAAGUUUAGGAUCAACCUGAUAAGCCUCAUCUCCCACACUGGAUGUUAGGAAAAAGACAACAUCAAGAAGAUCCUAGAGAGGAACAGAUAGAAAGGCCCGGCCACAGUCAGGACAGAAGAGAAACAGCUGCAAAAUGGGGUGGCAAUGGAUUCUCUCAGCUCCCAACAGGAAUGCAAGCAGAAGUUCCCUUGAGUGCACAUAGGCAUAAAGAAAUCUUAAUCCCUGGGCCUUCUGGGAGCCAUGCGAUAUAUUUCACAUUUUCAAUAUAAUUACAGUCUCACCAGUGCCAUUUAAAAAAAUUUAAGACAGCAAUAAAUAAUAAAAGGAUAUUAAGAUUAUCCUGGCAAAGUAUGAAAUAAAAUAAAAUAAACCAAAACA